GGGCGGGGAAGCGAGGCCCUGGGAACCACUGUCCAGCCAGGCUCCCUGAGCCUCUGGCUCCUGUAAGCCAGAUCUCCAGGCCCAGGCAGGGUCUGAGGGCUGUGGGGUGCAGGACCAGCCCUCCCCUCAGGCUUGUUUCUGAGCUGCCCCACAGUGUGGUGUCGGGUCACAGUACCUGACACACCAGCCCCUGGAAAACACUGACCCCUGGGUUGCCUCUAGCAAGCACCCCACGCUCCACCUGGAACUACUGCAGUGCUUCAGACAGGAGCAGGGCUUCUGUGUUUGGACAAACAGGAGAAGAUGCUGACUUCUUAAUGGGACUCAGUGGAAACUUGCAGUGUGACCCCUCCGUCUUUCCAAGUUGCAUCCCAUGUCAGAGGCCAGCACUUAGCCCACCGCAGUGAGCACCUGGAGCCACACAGUGGCCGGGCUUGAGAGGCAGGGAAGGCUGGGGUUCUGGGGAUGCGGCCCCAGGAAGCAGGCCACACUCACGGUGCCCCUGGGAGCUGUAAGCGGGUGACCGCAUGGCCCUUCCUCUCUCUCCCUCCCUCUGUGCAAUACCUCUCCCUUUUCUGACAGCGUACUUACUUAUGCUCUGACUCCGACACCCAGUUGUCCCAUUUGUGAAGGAGGGAGGCGGGAGCAGGUUGGUAGUGACCUUUGCGAUUGUUCACAAAGACACAACCUGGACCGAUGCCAGGGUGAGCAUGUCCACCCCUGCAGGCUGCCCGUGCCUUGGCCCGCUCCUGGGAGCCAUUCUGGAAGGUGGUUCCUGAGUCGUGGGCAAAGAACGCCCAGUGCAGAGUGACGCCCUUCCCCACUGCUGUGUGACCGGGCCUGGCCCAGAGCAGAGCUGCCGUGUGAGCCUGGCAUCACCUCACCACGCUGGCCCAGCGGGCAAGGUACUGGCCCGGAUUCAGUCUGCGGUCACAGUCAAGAACUGGAGUAACCGCGAGGGCGCCAGCUGGGCAGGGUGCUGCACCCCCCUUAAUCCUGGGACUCUGGGAGGCUGAGGCAGGAGGGUCAGAGGUUUGAGCCACGCUGGGCAGCUCAGUGAGACCCUGUGUCUAAAGAAAAGUUAAAAAGGGCUGGGGCUGGAGCUCAGGGCAAAGGCUCUGGGUUCAAAUCCCAUAGGGGCUGGGCUGGGCUGGGACUGGGACAAAGAGGUCUCUGGAUGGGUGAGCGGGCGCCUGGCGACAGCAGGGCUCACCAGGCCUGGUGCGGUGGGACCUGCUAGCUACAAGCAAGGCUGUGCGUGGGUCACUGUAAUACGGUGUCUUCACCUCUUCCCGGAGAGGCCCUACAGGGGAAAACCUGGGGCCAAAGGAAUUUCGUUCUUUUCUCUUUUUUGGUACCGGGAUGGAACUCAGGACCUUGCACUUUCGAGGCAGGCGGUGGAACCACUGAGCUACAUUCCCAGCUCAGGAAUUUGUCUUCCUUUCUGAGGCGUCUCCACACUGAUCUCUGCAGUGUUGUACCUGCGUACUCCCCCACCCGUGGGGAAGGCCCCUCGCCAGCGCCUUGUUACUGCUGGGUUUCUUGAAGAUGGCCCUGCCCUCUGGGGAUGGUGGGACUGCGGUGCUGCCUUUAAUUUAAUCCCUUAUUCUCAGCGUUGCUGUUUACUCCCUUCAAGUCCUGAACUCACACAGGUAGUUUCAAAGUUGCCAACCCUUUGUGCCAUGAAAAAGAAAACCUACUGGAGUUGAAGCUCAGCACUUUUCCUUUUGGGGAGAGGUGGGCAGGCAGGGAGAGGCGGGGCUGAGUGAGUCUGUGGCACAGAUGCCCACACCGCCCACCGGGCCUCCGCUCUUCGGCCCUGCCACGGGAAGCCCUGCGUCUGCGCUUUCCAGCCCUCCCUGCUGUCGGGGCUCAGCCAGGGAGGCUGUUGGCAGCCCCUUUAUCAGGAGGUGGGAAUGCCUGGGGCCCAGGCAAUGGGACAUCAAAUGUCCUUGACGGAGAAAGGGUAAUUUCAUCCAGGUUCCUCAAACACUCGGAAUGGAGCCAGCGUGUGGCACGCUGCAGUUGGCUUCUGGGUGCUCACAUCCAAGGCUGCGGAGCUGGUGUGGCAAGGAGACACCUACACGCCACGUCCACCACAGCUGAGGAAAAACAGUGCACCCAGGCAUGCCCCACCAAUGAGCGUGUGAAGGGACAGUGGACGCGCAUGGCAGCAUGCCGUGAGCCUCACAGAAGAGGGAAACAUGUCCUUUCUGACACACAGGUGAAUCUGGGCGAUGUUAAGUAAGACACACCAAGCAACAACAACAAUACCUGUGUGUGUGCGGUGCUGGGGACUGGACCCAGGACCUUCACACUGAGCUACAUCCCCACCUUUUCAUUUUCUGUUUUGAGACAGGGUCUCGCUAACUUGCUCAGUUGCCCAAGCUGGGCUCAAACUUGCCAUCCUCCUGCCUCUGCCUCCCAGUGCUGGGAUGACAGGCGUGCACCACCACACUUAGUUCCUGCUCUAACUUUUCAACAAAAUCCAUUACACUGUAGGAAAAGGUAAAAGAAAACUACGCGAUGGCUUUCUGGAUCUUUGUGUUCUAAACGCUGCCCUAACUUCUUGGAGAAGGCUUGUCGGUCAGUCGGGACUCAAGAAAGCCCUGGGCCUCCCAGGAGGCGCCGCCCCUCCUCGGCCCCAUGCACUGGCCUUGGGGAACCCUUCGGGUUGCCCAGACGCGAGGAUGGGGCUCCUCCUCCUCCACAGGCCCAGCACUGCCUCUGCUGAGGGUAGAUUUUGUUGGAUUCAUAUGCUUGUAGAAAGCAUAGAGAUACAAGUUUAGAAGGAGAAGCAGUCACAGUGGGAACAAGGAGAAGCGAGGAGAGAGGCCGCUUCCCUUGCUGGAGCCGGAGCUCGAGGGCCUUGGUUCCCAGCGCCUCUCCCGAGAGUUACACCUGCAUCAGCUGCUCCUAGGCUCAGACCCUGCCUUGGCCGUGGACCCUCCCUGCCCUUGCACUCUCCCCUCUCUCCGUGAGAUUUGUGACGGGGCCUCAGGCUGACGGCCAAGUUAGCAAGUAUUAAGAGGUACGUGCGCAUGUCAGUGCAUUCACAUGCUGAGAGAAUAAUAAAAUACAGGGCCGGGAUUUAGCUCAGUGGUCAUGCCUGCCUUGCAAGCACAAGGUCCCCAGUUCGAUCCCCGGUACCCAAAGAAACCAACAACAUACCUGCAUUUAUACACAGGUGCCUGAGCAACCAGGCACAAAUGUACAGCUGCCCCUGAAGUGUGUUUCCCUGCAAUUCAGCCUGUCCACUGCGGCCCCUCUGCACCUGGCUGGAGCCCAGAGGAGGACCUGGGCCUGCGACACCCUGCUCAUGCUCCGCCUGUCCUGCUCCCUCCAGGUCAGGGGUUUGCCGAGUCCUUCCCUUCCCUGCCCUGACCCCUGCCCUGACAAAGCCCUCCCGACGGAUGCAGGUGCCGGUAGAUAAAGGACAGGGACUGACGAUGUCUUACUGCAUCUGUGCACAUUUUAGUCAGUUCACCAAGCACCUCCCAGGCCGCAGGGCCCAGCGGGGCUGCGCUCCUGCCUGGCCCUACUGGUCCCAGUCCUUGACGAUGCUCAGGACGCCCCGCUCAGGGGCGGGGCCUGCCAGCCUGGCCAGCACGUCCAGCCCUCCGUGCUCCUUCUCCCUGGAGGACACAAAGUGGGCAGCUCCUGCACCCGGACCCCGGGGCGCCCGCCCGUGUCCCCGUCCCUGUCCCCGUGGCCUGCGCAGCUCCCGGAUCUGUGCGGGCCAGGCCGAUUGGGACCGCAGGGCAGGAGCCCGGGCACCGCUUACCGGAGGACAACGUUGCAUGCCUGCGCGGUGGCCGCUGACCAAGGCCUGCUGGCCCCGCUCCCCAACAUCGUUCCCGCUCACGUCCAGGUGCCUCAGCUCCAGGUUGGUGCCCGGCACAGCCGGCCAGGGCAAGGCAGCCAGCAGAGGACAUGCAGGUGGCAGCUGGGGCACGCCAGGGCCUCGCACAGAGUGGCGGCGCCGUCAUCCCCGAGGGUCAUUGAGGCUGAGGUCCAGGCUUUGGAGGCGCGCUGCUCUCUCGAGAGCUGAGGCCACGUCCUGACAGCAAGCCGAGCAGUGAGACCGAGGACUCAUGUGCUGACUCUGUCUUCCACCACUUGAGGAACAGCCAAGAACGUCUUCCUGAAGUGCCAGCACCUUCUCCUGCUUCUCCGGGGAAAGCUCAAAGUGUCAGUGCUUCCUCAGCAGGCAUGGGCGCGUGACCCAGAGGCCCACACCUGCAGACUCCGGCGACUUUUCCUCUCGGAGACACAUCGUCAUCGGCCUCACACUUGCCAUCCUCCUGCCUCAGCCUCCCAGAGUGCUGGGGUCACAGGCGUGCACCACCAUGCCUGGCUCCGUAUUUAAUUCUGUGCUGAACUUCCUCCCGUGACAGCCAAGUGAGACCUCCCCAGGAGGAAGGCAGCGUGACCUGGACACUGACCCUGAGCCCCCGCCCGGCUCUUGUGAUGAGCAGAUGUCGCCGUCCUGCGCAUCUGCAGGGCCCUGGGUGCCUGGGCCCCGCUAACCUGCCUCUUCAGUGGAAAUAACACCCUUUUCCUGACUGCUGUCCCCUGGCACAAGCAUGGCUCCAAUAGGCCUCUGUGGGUCACACGUGUGCCACAGACUAGAACACGAAGCAGGUGUGCUCGGCACUGCUCCCCGCACGCCGAGCCUCAAGGGGAGGCACCUGGGGACUCACACCAGCCUCUGGAGGGGCAGCGCCGCGCUUGCCAGGCUCUCCCAGAUGUGCCUCGCCCCUUCAUCCUUCAGGGCAUUGCCCGCCAGGCUCAGGUGCGUCAGCGUCCGGCUGCUCCCCAGGGAGACGGCCACGCCCGGGCAGGCCAGCUUCAUGAGCCCGCAGCCUCCAGCCUGGGGACAGAGACUCGAGGUGAGCUGCGGACAGGUGGCCGGGUGUGGGGAUGCACGCCUGUGACCCCAGCCCUCUGGGAGGCUGAGGCAGGGGGGAUUGUAAGUUCAAGCCCAGCCUGGGCAAUUUAGCGUCUGGGGGAGAACCUGUCUCAAAAUAAACAAAAAAAGGGCUGAUUGUGUCACACAGCGUGAAGGCCUGCCAGCAGUUCCCUAUACCAAAAAUAUCCCAGCCAACCAAAGGAACAAACAGCCCCGCCCGCCCCUGUGAGACAGGAAAGGGAUGGCCCAGGAGGAGGAGAGGCGCAGAAGCCUGGCCUGCAGUUUAGAGCUAAGGCGGAGGCUGAGGUUGUGGAAAGCGUUCGUCAGGGAUCAGCGUGACGCAAUGAAAACGGGAUCCCGUUCCCACGCCACCGAGUGGAAAAGCGGUCAGAAAGCGGGCUGCGAAGGCUCAGAGGAGCUGUCAGACGCGCUAUGGGUGGACGGAGCCCGGAGGUGCGCAGCCCGGAGGAGCGCGACCUGCAGCACGGCCGCCCUGUGCAGCAACGCCCGCCACAGCACCCGUGUGUGUGUGUAUGCGCGCAGUGUGCGCGUGUAACUGUAAGAGCGGGCAGCAGGGCAAACCCCAGCCUGCAGGGCAGCAGAGAGCUCCCUGCACGUUCACACAAACAUUAACAUGGGCAGCGAAGAGGAGCCGACCGCAGAAGGGAGCAGGAAAAUACUGCUCAGAAAGGAGGGCUCCUUCGUGUGAGCAGUGUGGGGCUUAGCGACUCCUGCUUAAGGAUAAACGUGUGAUGAGGCCAGUGCUAAAAUGCCAGCCUUCCCCGCCUCGGAAUGGCCGCCGUGAGUGUGUCAGCGUGUCACCACUGUGAGCUCAGACGGGCUGGCGAGGUUCUGUUUGGUCCAGGGGCCGCCCCGCCAGCUGGGGCCGCGCCGUCACCCCAGGCUGCCGCCCAGCGGACUCACGCCAACCUCCGGAGCUGCCUCGCAGACACGAAGAUCGCCGCCGACAGCGCCAGGCAGGCUCCACUCAGCGCCAGGGUCUGCAGGUGUGCGCUGUCUUGAAGGUCGCGGGCCAGGAGGACCCACUCUCGAGGGGGGGCCACGCAGGACACCAGCCUGGGGGGGAUGCAGGACACCCACGCAUGCGCACGCCGAGCCUGGGCUGGGGUCACGGCCCUUGGGGGGCGCCUCGGGGGUCCCGACUCCCCCAGCCGUAUGCCUGUGCCAGGCGCGGCCACGCGCACACUGGGCCGCAACCCCUGGACAGGACGAGGCGGCUCCGGCCCUGGAAACAGCUUCCCUCCGGCGCCUUUGCCGGACAAGCACGCGGGAGAGGAGGCGAUGCAGCCACGGGGCUGACUCCGAGUCCCGAAGCUCCUUCGGGCAAAGCCAGGCCUCGCGCUGAGCCGUCCUGGCCCGCUCAGGCUGCUGGGUGGUGCUGGGUGCUGCGACCCUCUGACUCCUCCCUCGCCAGCUCCUCCUGGCUGGGUUCAGCUGCCCGUGGAGGUCACGACCCUGACAUCGUGUUUCCACCUUGUGGAUCCAGGAGACGUCAGCAGCUUCAGGGCAUAGACCAGCAGCGGGCAGGGGCUAAGCUGACACUGUACAGGCUGUGAG
Molecule: long non-coding RNA, 6490 nt
Filed under: Heterocephalus glaber (naked mole-rat)
Lineage: Eukaryota; Metazoa; Chordata; Mammalia; Rodentia; Bathyergidae
Description: lncRNA (ENSHGLG00000041893.1)
Source: RNAcentral